UUGUAAGUGUUUGAGGGCGUUCGGUGGAUGCCUUGGCACCAGGGGCCGAUGAAGGACGUGGUAGGCCGCGAUAGUCCUCGGGGAGUUGUCAAACGAGCUGUGAUCCGAGGGUGUCCGAAUGGGGAAACCCAGCACGAGUGAUGUCGUGUUACCACCAGCUGAAUGUAUAGGCUGUGUGGGGGGAACGUGGGGAAGUGAAACAUCUCAGUACCCAUAGGAAGAGAAAACAAUUGUGAUUCCGUGAGUAGUGGCGAGCGAAAGCGGAGGAUGGCUAAACCAUGCGCAUGUGAUACCGGGUAGGGGUUGUGUGUGUGGUGUUGUGGGGUCUGUCUUCCUCGAUCUACCUGUCGGGGCGUGAGUGAGAAAACCAUGCGUUAGGUGAAGUGGCCUGGAAUGGUCUGCCGUAGGCGGUGAGAGUCCGGUAGCUGAAAGCGUGUGGUCUUGCGUGAUGGUGUCCCCAAGUAGCAGCGGGCUCGUGGAAUCUGCUGUGAAUCUGCCGGGACCACCCGGUAAGCCUGAAUACUUCCUGGUGACCGAUAGCGGACUAGUACCGUGAGGGAAAGGUGAAAAGUACCCCGGGAGGGGAGUGAAAGAGUACCUGAAACCGGACGCUUACAAUCCGUCAAAGCCUUUGAGUCGUUUGGUCGGCUGGGGGUGAUGGCGUGCCUUUUGAAGAAUGAGCCUGCGAGUUAGUGCUCGGUGGCGAGGUUAACCCGUGUGGGGUAGCCGUAGCGAAAGCGAGUCUGAAUAGGGCGUGUUGAGUCGCCGGGUCUAGACCCGAAGCGGAGUGAUCUACCCAUGGCCAGGGUGAAGCGCGGGUAAGACCGCGUGGAGGCCCGAACCCACUUCAGUUGAAAAUGGAGGGGAUGAGUUGUGGGUAGGGGUGAAAGGCCAAUCAAACUCCGUGAUAGCUGGUUCUCCCCGAAAUGCAUUUAGGUGCAGCGUGGUGUGUUUCUUGCCGGAGGUAGAGCUACUGGAUGGCCGAUGGGCCCUACUAGGUUACUGACGUCAGCCAAACUCCGAAUGCCGGUAAGUGAGAGCACUGCAGUGAGACUGCGGGCGAUAAGGUUCGUAGUCGAGAGGGAAACAGCCCAGAUCGCCGGCUAAGGCCCCUAAGCGUGUACUAAGUGGAAAAGGAUGUGGGGUUGCACAGACAACUAGGAUGUUGGCUUAGAAGCAGCCACCAUUUAAAGAGUGCGUAAUAGCUCACUAGUCGAGUGACCCUGCGCCGAAAAUGUACCGGGGCUCAAGUACACCGCCGAAGCCGCGGCACUCACACAAUAAUCUGGCUUGCCCUUACGGGGGUGUGUCUAGGUGUGUGGGUGGGUAGGGGAGCGUCCUGCAUCCGUGGAAGCGCCGGAGUGAUCUAGGUGUGGAGGGUGUGGGAGUGAGAAUGCAGGCAUGAGUAGCGAAAGCAGAGUGAGAAACUCUGCCGCCGGAUGACCAAGGGUUCCUGGGCCAGGCUAAUCCGCCCAGGGUUAGUCGGGACCUAAGCCGAGGCCGACAGGCGUAGGCGAUGGAUAACAGGUUGAUAUUCCUGUACCCGUGUAUCCGCGCCCAUGCUGAAUCAUCUGUACUAACCAUCCAAAUCCCAAUGGACUGCCUUCGGGUAGCCGGCGGGGGCUGCAUGGGACCUCGGGUGGUAGUAGGCAAGCGAUGGGGUGACGCAGGAAGGUAGUGGGGCCAGGCGAUGGUUGUCCUGGUGUAAGCCUGUAGGACGAGGCAUUGGUAAAUCCGUGCUUCAGGUGUCUGAGAGGUGAUGCGUAACCGUUGUGGUGAAUUCCAUGAUCCUAUGCUGCCGAGAAAAGCUUCUAGUGAGUUGGUACACGGCCCGUACCGCAAACCGACACAGGUAGUCGAGGAGAGAAUCCUAAGGUGAGCGAGAGAACUCUCGUUAAGGAACUCGGCAAAAUGACCCCGUAACUUCGGGAGAAGGGGGACCCAUUCUGGUGACGACAUUGACUGUUUGAGCUGGUGUGGGUCGCAGAGACCAGAGAGAAGCGACUGUUUAUCAAAAACACAGGUCUCUGCAAAAUCGUAAGAUGAAGUAUAGGGGCUGACGCCUGCCCGGUGCUGGAAGGUUAAGAGGACCGGUUAAUGCCCUUCGGGUGUGAAGCUGAGAAUUGAAGCCCCAGUAAACGGCGGCCGUAACUAUAACGGUCCUAAGGUAGCGAAAUUCCUUGUCGGGUAAGUUCCGACCCGCACGAAAGGCGUAACGACUUCUCUGCUGUCUCAACCACAGACUCGGCGAAAUUGCAGUACGAGUAAAGAUGCUCGUUACGCGCGGCAGGACGAAAAGACCCCGGGACCUUCACUAUAGCUUGGUAUUGGUGUUCGGUUCGGUUUGUGUAGGAUAGGUGGGAGACUGUGAAGUGGCCACGCCAGUGGUUGUGGAGUCGUUGUUGAAAUACCACUCUGAUCGUAUUGGACUUCUAACCUCGGACCCUGAUCGGGUUCAGGGACAGUGCCUGGUGGGUAGUUUGACUGGGGCGGUCGCCUCCUAAAAGGUAACGGAGGCGCCCAAAGGUUCCCUCAGCCUGGUUGGCAAUCAGGUGGUGAGUGUAAGUGCACAAGGGAGCUUGACUGCGAGACCAACAAGUCGAGCAGGGACGAAAGUCGGGCUUAGUGAUCCGGCACCAACGUGUGGAAGUGGUGUCGCUCAACGGAUAAAAGCUACCCUGGGGAUAACAGGCUUAUCUCCCCCAAGAGUCCACAUCGACGGGGAGGUUUGGCACCUCGAUGUCGGCUCGUCGCAUCCUGGGGCUGUAGUCGGUCCCAAGGGUUGGGCUGUUCGCCCAUUAAAGCGGCACGCGAGCUGGGUUCAGAACGUCGUGAGACAGUUCGGUCCCUAUCCGUCGCGGGCGUUGGAAAUUUGAGAGGAGCUGUCCUUAGUACGAGAGGACCGGGAUGGACUUACCGCUGGUGUACCAGUUGUUCUGCCAAGGGCAUUGCUGGGUAGCUAUGUAGGGAAGGGAUAAACGCUGAAAGCAUCUAAGCGGGAAGCCUGUUCCAAGAUGAGGUUUCUCACCACCAUUGAGUGGUUAAGGCCCCCACAGACCAUGGGGUUGAUAGGCCAGAACUGGAAGCCCAGUAAUGGGUGUAGGUGACUGGUACUAAUCGGCCGAGGACUUACAACA
RNAcentral lists this ribosomal RNA (3137 nucleotides) under Gordonia polyisoprenivorans. RNAcentral describes it as "23S ribosomal RNA". It matches the Rfam family "Bacterial large subunit ribosomal RNA". The record is from RNAcentral. Lineage: Bacteria; Bacillati; Actinomycetota; Actinomycetes; Mycobacteriales; Gordoniaceae.